AUUGAACGCUGGCGGCAUGCCUUACACAUGCAAGUCGAACGGUAACGGGCCUUCGGGUGCCGACGAGUGGCGAACGGGGGAGUAAUACAUCGGAACGUGCCCGAUCGUGGGGGAUAACGAGGCGAAAGCUUUGCUAAUACCGCAUACGAUCUACGGAUGAAAGCAGGGGACCGCAAGGCCUUGCGCGGACGGAGCGGCCGAUGGCAGAUUAGGUAGUUGGUGGGAUAAAAGCUUACCAAGCCGACGAUCUGUAGCUGGUCUGAGAGGAUGAUCAGCCACACUGGGACUGAGACACGGCCCAGACUCCUACGGGAGGCAGCAGUGGGGAAUUUUGGACAAAGGGCGCAAGCCUGAUCCAGCCAUGCCGCGUGCAGGAUGAAGGCCUUCGGGUUGUAAACUGCUUUUGUACGGAACGAAAAGCCUUCUUUUAAUACAGGAGGGUCAUGACGGUACCGUAAGAAUAAGCACCGGCUAACUACGUG
Molecule: ribosomal RNA, 482 nt
Filed under: uncultured bacterium
Lineage: Bacteria
Description: partial 16S ribosomal RNA
Rfam family: Bacterial small subunit ribosomal RNA
Source: RNAcentral